Molecule: long non-coding RNA, 1071 nt
Organism: Rhincodon typus (whale shark)
Lineage: Eukaryota; Metazoa; Chordata; Chondrichthyes; Orectolobiformes; Rhincodontidae
Exons: 3
Source: RefSeq, a predicted model, not a curated record
GGACACUUGUUUCAAAAACAACUCCAGUCACCACGCCGAGCCGGAUUGUGACGGUGAUUACUAGGCAUACCAAACAGUCAUGCGCCAGUCUUCACCUUCUACAUCAGCAGUAACAGGUGUAGAAAUACAAGGGCGAAUAAAGAAAUAGAAUAUAUGCUGCGUUUGGGGCUGCAACCGUCUCUAAAAUUCCGCAUAGCAGACAUAUACAGGCACAGUUUCGGUAACAGAAAGCGUUUGGGCUCCUAAAGGAUUUAAUGAUGACACGAGGAAGGAAUGGCUGAAUAGUUUUCAUGCAACUCCCACAUUCUUGAGAGCAAAAGACUGAAAGCGGCAGAGAAGUGAACGUAUUCGAUAAAGUGUGGGAAAAUCUACUAACCUGGAUCGUUUGCCGGUUAUACACUUUUACGACGUGAAAGUUAAAACUGUAAAUUCCUUUCCGUGGCGCUAUGAAGGUGCUCCUCUCCGAGUCAAAAUUAGAACCCACAUUCACUAGUAUCUGAAAUCAGACAGAAACUGUGUCAGCAAACCCGGGCGGUUUAGUCAACUACCUAAAACAAAACGGAAUGUUUAAGAGUAGCGCGAAUGAAGGGAGAAUGGGACAGAGCUCACAAGAUUACGAAGUUGUGAGAACCAUAAGAAUCAGCGUCUUCAGUUGUCUCAGACAUCGAUUUAGUUAAAUUCCAUCUACAUGAUUAACUUCUUUCUAUUUGUAAAGACAUUUUGUUGUAAUUUCUAUUUUCUCACAUUUAAGUGCGCUGCAUUCCCGUUUCCCCUUCAGUGGUCCUCUGGUUAUAUGUGUGUCCCUUGGAGAGACCAGCCCCUGUCCCUUAACCCGCUUCAUCUUCUUUGCGGCUUUGUUUUUUUUUUCCCCGGACGCAUCAUUUCGUUCGUAUUUUCCCAUCCCGCUGUCCCUCCCAUGCAAUCUGAAAAUAUGUACCGCAACUUUCCUCCAACUCUGACUUCUCAUUCCCCAUUCUGCUUGCUAUAUUGCACCACGGAGCCGAGUUCUGAGCCUGGACAUGGUCAAGCAGCUACAGUACCUAAGAACUGACCUUGGGGGAUACAGCAUGU